RNAcentral lists this ribosomal RNA (529 nucleotides) under uncultured bacterium. Its description in RNAcentral is "bacterial SSU rRNA". It matches the Rfam family "Bacterial small subunit ribosomal RNA", at positions 981 to 1509 of the family's 1533-position model. The record is from RNAcentral.
UUGACAUCCAGCGAACUUUCCAGAGAUGGAUUGGUGGCCUUCGGGAACGCUGAGACAGGUGCUGCAUGGCUGUCGUCAGCUCGUGUUGUGAAAUGUUGGGUUAAGUCCCGNAACGAGCGCAACCCUUAUCCUUUGUUGCCAGCGAUUCGGUCGGGAACUCAAAGGAGACUGCCGGUGAUAAACCGGAGGAAGGUGGGGAUGACGUCAAGUCAUCAUGGCCCUUACGAGUAGGGCUACACACGUGCUACAAUGGCGCAUACAAAGAGAAGCGACCUCGCGAGAGCAAGCGGACCUCAUAAAGUGCGUCGUAGUCCGGAUCGGAGUCUGCAACUCGACUCCGUGAAGUCGGAAUCGCUAGUAAUCGUGGAUCAGAAUGCCACGGUGAAUACGUUCCCGGGCCUUGUACACACCGCCCGUCACACCAUGGGAGUGGGUUGCAAAAGAAGUAGGUAGCUUAACCUUCGGGAGGGCGCUUACCACUUUGUGAUUCAUGACUGGGGUGAAGUCGUAACAAGGUAAGCGUAGCGAG